GUUGUGGACGAACGAACGAAGCUUCUAGUUCAGCCAGCAACGCUGAUAGUUGUGUUUCAGGCUUGGAUCCUGUUGGUCCAUAAGCGAGAGUUGUUCGUCGGAAUGACAAACCUCUCGUCCUAUGAUCCAAUGUUAAUCCGGGAUCAAGAGAGGAUAGCGAAUCUAAACUACAUCUACAACUGCAGCGACAUAGAGGCUCUGUGGAUGCUUCGAAUGAAAAGAGUGCCUUUCGCCAGGCUUGUGCAGAUGUUCAGAAGCAUGGGGCUGCUAGAAGAUAACAUUCACACCACUGUGGAAGAGCAAGUAGCCAUGUUCCUCCAUACUGUUCGUCAUAACCAGAUGUUCAGGGUUGUACACAACACCUUCAGGAGAUCAAUGGAGAUCAUCUCCAGGUACUUCAAGCAAGUGUUGUAUGAUGUUGGAGAACUCAGAGGAGAGAUGAUCAUGCCACGAACUGGCCGGACUCCUACCAAGAUUCGUACUAGCCCAAGAUGGUAUCCAUACUUCAAGGUGAGCACUGACAGUAUGUAG
RNAcentral lists this ribosomal RNA (531 nucleotides) under Triticum aestivum (bread wheat). RNAcentral describes it as "partial small subunit ribosomal RNA". Lineage: Eukaryota; Viridiplantae; Streptophyta; Magnoliopsida; Poales; Poaceae. The record is from RNAcentral.